This 215-nucleotide ribosomal RNA is filed under the name Bacillus pumilus. RNAcentral's name for it is "partial 16S ribosomal RNA". It matches the Rfam family "Bacterial small subunit ribosomal RNA", at positions 1266 to 1482 of the family's 1533-position model. Lineage: Bacteria; Bacillati; Bacillota; Bacilli; Caryophanales; Bacillaceae. The record is from RNAcentral.
AGCCAAUCCCAUAAAUCUGUUCUCAGUUCGGAUCGCAGUCUGCAACUCGACUGCGUGAAGCUGGAAUCGCUAGUAAUCGCGGAUCAGCAUGCCGCGUGAAUACGUUCCCGGGCCUUGUACACACCGCCCGUCACACCACGAGAGUUUGCAACACCCGAAGUCGGUGAGGUAACCUUUAUGGAGCCAGCCGCCGAAGGUGGGGCAGAUGAUGGGUG